CACUACACGCCAUUUUGAUGUAAUAAGUUUCUGGCUUCAAUUUACAAAUAAUCAUAUUAAAUUAUACACUGCGUAAGCAGGAGAAAAAGAAUCUCCACGAUCCUGGAUCAAAUGGCAAGAUCCACCACUCCCGUGCUGUUAUUUAUCAGUCUCCACCAAAGAGAAUUAAUUUGUAAGAGACUUCCACUUUCAGCAUCCCGUAAAUUAUACCCAGUUACUGUGAAGUAAUGGGAGGAAAAUUUUAGUGAUUCAUUCAUAUUUUAUGAGAAACAAGACUGAAUUUUAUCCCUUCCUACAUAUCUUCACCCUAAAUCAACUAUUCACUGUGUCAUUGUUCUUCAAAAUCAUGCAAUUCACAUGCUUUUUUACCGAUCCAGGGAAAAUUUCAAAAUAUAAAUGCCAAAUUUGUUUCCCAUCUUGGAAGUGUGCAAGAAAAGGAGGAAAUAUGAAAAUCAAUAGGGGAGAAAGUGCUUGUGUGAAAGAGGUGCAACACACGCGGAUGUCAAAGCCAGGCCCAACCUCUACUCAGAAGACACUGAGGAACCUAUCUCUUUACACGUGUCAAUUAUGGAAUAAUCACGGACUAUGGACUAUUAUGAAGACACUAGAUUAUCAAAUAGCUACAUCUGUGUCAGAGAGAGAUCACAAGUAAGCAGAGCAGCAGGCAGAUAAAGAGGGGGAAGCAGGCUCCCCGCUGAGCAGAGAGCCCAAUGUGGGGCUUGAUCCCAGGACCCUGAGAUCAUGACCUGAGUCGAAGGCAGAGGCCCAACCCACUGAGCUACUCAGGAGCCCCUAAAAUCACUACUCUUUAAGUUCUGCUGUAGGAGGUGUGUAUCCCAUAACCAUGCUUUUCCUUGUAUUCUUUUGAAGGUUGUUUUUAUUGUCUCUCUGUAGCUGCUGGCAUAUUUUUCCUAGUCAAAAUGAUAAAGUGAUGACUUCCAGGUUAAUAAGAUCUAGAAUUAAUACUUUGCUGAUUCACUCUUUUAAUUCUUAGACAGCAGCGUAUUUAUAUAGUUUACUUGAUGACAGUUCAUAAGAAAGAAAUAUAUGAAAGUCCCAAAGCAUUUGAAUUGAAUAAUUGAAUCAUAUGUUACUUAUUAUAUGACUACUACAAAGAGCAAGAGACUAAUUCAGCAAAGCAAACAUCUCUUCAGAAAGAACUGGGACUGAAUGUUUCUGAUAUACUUGAGAUACAAGUUUGGGACUGAUGAAUUAACUAUUUUAAUCUAUUUUAAUCUUGACACACUACUGUGGUUUUUAUUUCUUGCUCUUCAUCCUCUCUCCUCCCUGUUCUGCUUUUUUUUUUUUUUUAAUUUUCAUACUUUUUUAUUUGGAAAUGAGAUAACACUGUUACAGAUACCUGACUAUAGCUGGCCUUAGGUGAAAUAAAAAUAAUUAGUAUUUACAGAGGGAUUCCAUUCUACGUUUUAUUCAUAAGGCAUGAACUACUUUUGAAAAGAAUAAAAGAAGCAGAGAACAAGAAAGUAUAAGACAUUUAGAAGAUUAUUACAGAGAAUACUGGAAGUAAAAGUAGAUGAAGUUUACCAGCUCACAGAGUGAAAAUGAGAAAGAAAAGUUUACAGACAAAGGAUUAAUCUAUAUAGGCAAAAUACAGAGAAAAUACGAAUUUUGAAAAAGGACAUCUUUUAGACAAACUGACACAGGUCUUUUAAACAGCCCAAUUAAGGCCAUGUAGGAGAAAUUUUAAAAUGGCCUGCUCCUUAGAAAGUCCUUGUG
RNAcentral lists this long non-coding RNA (1737 nucleotides) under Mustela putorius furo (domestic ferret). RNAcentral's name for it is "lncRNA (ENSMPUG00000028988.1)". The record is from RNAcentral. Lineage: Eukaryota; Metazoa; Chordata; Mammalia; Carnivora; Mustelidae.